GACGAACGUUGGCGGCGUGCUUAACACAUGCAAGUCGAACGAGACGAUUGAAAGCUUGCUUUCGAAAGUCGAGUGGCAAACGGGUGAGUAACGCGUAGACAACCUGCCUUUGAGAUGGGGACAACAGUUCGAAAGGACUGCUAAUACCGAAUGUUGUAUAUUUUCCACAUGGAAGAUAUAUUAAAGAUGGCCUCUAUUUAUAAGCUAUCGCUCAAAGAUGGGUCUGCGUCUGAUUAGCUAGUUGGUGGGGUAACGGCCUACCAAGGCGACGAGCAGUAGCCGGUCUGAGAGGAUGAACGGCCACAGUGGGACUGAGACACGGCCCAGACUCCUACGGGAGGCAGCAGUGGGGAAUCUUCCACAAUGGACGAAAGUCUGAUGGAGCAACGCCGCGUGAGUGAAGAAGGGUUUCGGCUCGUAAAGCUCUGUUGUCGGGGACGAAUGGCUAGAUCGUGAAUAAUGAUUUGGCAUGACGGUACCUUUGGAGGAAGCCACGGCUAACUACGUGCCAGCCGCCGCGGUAA
This 524-nucleotide ribosomal RNA is filed under the name uncultured bacterium. Its description in RNAcentral is "partial 16S ribosomal RNA". It matches the Rfam family "Bacterial small subunit ribosomal RNA", at positions 28 to 523 of the family's 1533-position model. The record is from RNAcentral.